Molecule: microRNA, 23 nt
Organism: Caenorhabditis elegans
Lineage: Eukaryota; Metazoa; Nematoda; Chromadorea; Rhabditida; Rhabditidae
Source: Ensembl
UGAGAUCAUUAGUUGAAAGCCGA